Molecule: unclassified non-coding RNA, 272 nt
Filed under: plant metagenome
Description: partial contains small subunit ribosomal RNA, internal transcribed spacer 1, and 5.8S ribosomal RNA
Source: RNAcentral
UUUCCGUAGGUGAACCUGCGGAAGGAUCAUUAAUGAGUUGUCGUGGGCUUGGAUGCUGGCAGCCAGUUUUUGGAUGCAUGUGCUUGCCCUAACAAUCAUCUUCUUCCAAACACCUGUGCACAUUUUUGAGGGAGUCUUGAGUUGGUUGCCGCUCUUGGGUGAUUUUCUCACAUUCCCUUAAAUCAGUAUACCCUAUUAACAAUGUUGAACGCGCUCUGUGCCGCAAGGCCAUUAAUAUAAUACAACUUUUAACAACGGAUCUCUUGGCUCUG